CCUUUUUGCAGGUUGGGUAGGUCCCAGGUAUAGGGGAAACUCUGCCGAAUUUCCGGCAUGAAUUAGGCUGUCUAUUGCCUCUUUAGAGUUUUAUCUUAACUUAGUACUAAUAAAUUUAUAAUUUAAUUAUUAGGUGAUCGAGGUCAGCUAUUUUUCUGCAUCCAGCAGCCACAAUAGUCAUCGGUGUACUGCUACAGGAGGAGACAUUUUUCAGAAUAACCUGUCCCUUUCCUCUCAGGUUAUGAAAAGAUUACUUAAUUGUAUUAUUAUUCUCUAAAUUUGUAAUUUAGGACUCUGCAUAUGCUAGUAGUAGCAUUAAGCCUGUCAGGGACUGUAUGAAUUCAAGUUUUCAUAUUAAUAAAUGAAAAGAAAAAAAAAUUUUAUGA
This is a long non-coding RNA of Hevea brasiliensis (rubber tree), 386 nucleotides long. RefSeq lists it as uncharacterized. Lineage: Eukaryota; Viridiplantae; Streptophyta; Magnoliopsida; Malpighiales; Euphorbiaceae. The record is from RefSeq and is a predicted model, not a curated record. The transcript has 2 exons.